CACGUAGGGGGCGAGCGUUGUCCGGAAUUACUGGGCGUAAAGGGCGCGCAGGCUGUUAUGAGAGUCUGCUGUGAAAUGUACCGGCUCAACCGGUGCCUUGCGGCGGAUACUGCAUAGCUGGAGUACUGGAGAGGGAAGUGGAAUUCCCAGUGUAGCGGUGAAAUGCAUAGAUAUCACGAGGAACUCCGAUUGCGUAGGCAGCUUACUAAACCAUAACUGACGCUCAUGCACGAAGGCGUGGGGAGUCAAACA
This 252-nucleotide ribosomal RNA is filed under the name uncultured prokaryote. Its description in RNAcentral is "partial 16S ribosomal RNA". It matches the Rfam family "Bacterial small subunit ribosomal RNA", at positions 524 to 775 of the family's 1533-position model. The record is from RNAcentral.